RNAcentral lists this ribosomal RNA (441 nucleotides) under uncultured bacterium. RNAcentral's name for it is "bacterial SSU rRNA". It matches the Rfam family "Bacterial small subunit ribosomal RNA", at positions 29 to 506 of the family's 1533-position model. The record is from RNAcentral.
ACGAACGCUGGCGGCAUGCCUAACACAUGCAAGUCGAACGGGAUCCUGGCUUCGGUCAGGUGAGAGUGGCGGACGGGUGAGUAACGCGUGGGAACCUGCCCAGUGGUGGGGGAUAACUGCGGGAAACUGCAGCUAAUACCGCAUGAGCCCGAGAGGGGAAAGAUUUAUCGCCAUUGGAGGGGCCCGCGUUCGAUUAGGUAGUUGGUGAGGUAAUGGCUCACCAAGCCGACGAUCGAUAGCUGGUCUGAGAGGAUGAUCAGCCACACUGGGACUGAGAUACGGCCCAGACUCCUACGGGAGGCAGCAGUGGGAAAUAUUGGACAAUGGGGGCAACCCUGAUCCAGCAAUGCCGCGUGAGUGAUGAAGGCCUUAGGGUUGUAAAGCUCUUUUGGCGGGGACGAUGAUGACGGUACCCGCAGAAUAAGCCCCGGCUAACUUCGU